GCCUGGGUGGCUCAGUCGGUUGAGCGUCCGACUUCAGCUCAGGUCAUGAUCUCACAGUUCGUGGGUUUGAGCCCCACGUCGGGCU
RNAcentral lists this transfer RNA (85 nucleotides) under Felis catus (domestic cat). It matches the Rfam family "tRNA". From Rfam's summary of the family: Transfer RNA (tRNA) molecules are approximately 80 nucleotides in length. Their secondary structure includes four short double-helical elements and three loops (D, anti-codon, and T loops). RNAcentral also lists the same sequence under 1 other name. The record is from Rfam by way of RNAcentral. Lineage: Eukaryota; Metazoa; Chordata; Mammalia; Carnivora; Felidae.